RNAcentral lists this ribosomal RNA (386 nucleotides) under uncultured bacterium. Its description in RNAcentral is "bacterial SSU rRNA". It matches the Rfam family "Bacterial small subunit ribosomal RNA", at positions 28 to 408 of the family's 1533-position model. The record is from RNAcentral.
GACGAACGCUGGCGGCGCGCUUAAUACAUGCAAGUCGAGCGAGAACCAGGACUUCGGUCCUGGGGACAGCGGCGAACGGGUGAGUAACACGUGAGUAAUCUGCCCUCAGCACCGGGAUAGCCCAGGGAAACUUGGAUUAAUACCGGAUAGCCCGACAGCCUUUCGGGGCGGUCGGAAAAGGUAGCUUUGGCCUCUGGCUGAGGAUGAGCUCGCGGCGGAUUAGCUUGUUGGCGGGGUAAGGCCCACCAAGGCGACGAUCCGUAGCUGGUCUGAGAGGACGAUCAGCCACACUGGGACUGAGACACGGCCCAGACUCCUACGGGAGGCAGCGGUGGGGAAUAUUGCACAAUGGGCGGAAGCCUGAUGCAGCGACGCCGCGUGAGGGA